Molecule: transfer RNA, 72 nt
Filed under: Candidatus Delongbacteria bacterium
Lineage: Bacteria; Candidatus Delongiibacteriota
Also listed under: 1 other name
Description: tRNA-Glu
Rfam family: tRNA
About the family: Transfer RNA (tRNA) molecules are approximately 80 nucleotides in length.
Source: RNAcentral
GGUCUCAUCGUCUAGUGGUUAGGACCCAAGGUUUUCAUCCUUGUAACCGGAGUUCGAUUCUCCGUGAGAUCA